Molecule: non-coding RNA, 163 nt
Filed under: uncultured Mesorhizobium sp.
Lineage: Bacteria; Pseudomonadati; Pseudomonadota; Alphaproteobacteria; Hyphomicrobiales; Phyllobacteriaceae
Source: RNAcentral
CAGGUGCCUGCCGCGAGGCGGGAGAAUCGGGAACACGGUGAAAAUCCGUGGCGUGCCCAACGCUGUAAGGGGGACCGCUCGGCAAAAGCCACUGUCCGUGAAAACGGACGGGAAGGCGCCGGCAAGCGGGACGAACCCGAGCCAGAAGACCGGCCGGACAGGA